This 524-nucleotide ribosomal RNA is filed under the name Microvirga sp. Its description in RNAcentral is "bacterial SSU rRNA". It matches the Rfam family "Bacterial small subunit ribosomal RNA", at positions 85 to 644 of the family's 1533-position model. The record is from RNAcentral. Lineage: Bacteria; Pseudomonadati; Pseudomonadota; Alphaproteobacteria; Hyphomicrobiales; Methylobacteriaceae.
UUCGGGGUGAGUGGCAGACGGGUGAGUAACGCGUGGGAACGUGCCCUUCAGUUCGGAAUAACCCAGGGAAACUUGGGCUAAUACCGGAUACGUGCGAGAGCAGAAAGAUUUAUCGCUGAAGGAUCGGCCCGCGUCUGAUUAGCUAGUUGGUAGGGUAAUGGCCUACCAAGGCGACGAUCAGUAGCUGGUCUGAGAGGAUGAUCAGCCACAUUGGGACUGAGACACGGCCCAAACUCCUACGGGAGGCAGCAGUGGGGAAUAUUGGACAAUGGGCGCAAGCCUGAUCCAGCCAUGCCGCGUGAGUGAUGAAGGCCUUAGGGUUGUAAAGCUCUUUCAGUGGGGACGAUAAUGACGGUACCCGCAGAAGAAGCCCCGGCUAACUUCGUGCCAGCAGCCGCGGUAAUACGAAGGGGGCUAGCGUUGUUCGGAAUCACUGGGCGUAAAGGGCGCGUAGGCGGCUUUGUAAGUCGGGGGUGAAAGCCUGUGGCUCAACCACAGAAUUGCCUUCGAUACUGCAUGGCUUG